UACGAAGGGGGCUAGCGUUGCUCGGAAUCACUGGGCGUAAAGGGUGCGUAGGCGGGUCUUAAGUCAGAGGUGAAAUCCUGGAGCUCAACUCCAGAACUGCCUUCGAUACUGGCGAUCUUGAGUCCGGAAGAGGUGAGUGGAACUCCUAGUGUAGAGGUGGAAUUCGUAGAUAUUAGGAAGAACACCAGUGGCGAAGGCGGCUCACUGGACCAUAACUGACGCUGAGGCACGAAGGCUAGGGGAGCAAACGGG
This 252-nucleotide ribosomal RNA is filed under the name uncultured bacterium. RNAcentral's name for it is "partial 16S ribosomal RNA". It matches the Rfam family "Bacterial small subunit ribosomal RNA", at positions 524 to 776 of the family's 1533-position model. The record is from RNAcentral.